Molecule: ribosomal RNA, 105 nt
Filed under: Klebsiella pneumoniae
Lineage: Bacteria; Pseudomonadati; Pseudomonadota; Gammaproteobacteria; Enterobacterales; Enterobacteriaceae
Source: RNAcentral
GAAUUUGCCUGNNGGUCCCACCUGACCCCAUGCCGAACUCAGAAGUGAAACGCCGUAGCGCCGAUGGUAGUGUGGGGUCUCCCCAUGUGAGAGUAGGGAACUGCC